UCCACGCUCCCGCUGCGCCUCCUCAUGUGAUUACAACUUAAUCAUAGGCACGCAGGCCCGACAAUAAACGAGAAAUAUAAUGGAGGUUCGUAGACCUCAAUAAUAAUAAUCACAAGUACACACAUCACACGGUCCAUGAUCAUCCGUCCACACAUCAUACAUCACAUGUAUAAAUAAUCAUCAUCAUGUAAGACUACUAGAUAAUAAUAAAA
This 212-nucleotide long non-coding RNA is filed under the name Musa acuminata (dwarf banana). RNAcentral's name for it is "long non-coding RNA (MACU_LNC009356)". Lineage: Eukaryota; Viridiplantae; Streptophyta; Magnoliopsida; Zingiberales; Musaceae. The record is from RNAcentral.